RNAcentral lists this ribosomal RNA (700 nucleotides) under Kineococcus sp. T2-15. Its description in RNAcentral is "bacterial SSU rRNA". It matches the Rfam family "Bacterial small subunit ribosomal RNA", at positions 731 to 1439 of the family's 1533-position model. The record is from RNAcentral. Lineage: Bacteria; Bacillati; Actinomycetota; Actinomycetes; Kineosporiales; Kineosporiaceae.
UGGCCAUUACUGACGUGAGGAGGAAAGCAUGGGAGCGAACAGGAUUAGAUACCCUGGUAGUCCAUGCCGUAAACUUGGCGUAGGUGUGGGUCCAUUCCACGGAUUCCGUGCCGCAGUAACGCAUUAAGCGCCCCGCUGGGGAGUACGGCCGCAAGGUAAAACUCAAAGGAAUUGACGGGGGCCCGCACAAGCGGCGGAGCAUGCGGAUUAAUUCGAUGCAACGCGAAGAACCUUACCAAGGCUUGACAUGCGCGGUGGAAUCCCAGAGAUGGGGUGUCAUUUAGUUGGUCGCGUACAGGUGGUGCAUGGUUGUCGUCAGCUCGUGUCGUGAGAUGUUGGGUUAAGUCCCGCAACGAGCGCAACCCUCGUUCCAUGUUGCCAGCACUUCGGGUGGGGACUCAUGGGAGACUGCCGGGGUCAACUCGGAGGAAGGUGGGGAUGACGUCAAAUCAUCAUGCCCCUUAUGUCUUGGGCUUCACGCAUGCUACAAUGGCCAGUACAGAGGGCUGCGAUACCGUGAGGUGGAGCGAAUCCCAAAAAGCUGGUCUCAGUUCGGAUCGGGGUCUGCAACUCGACCCCGUGAAGUCGGAGUCGCUAGUAAUCGCAGAUCAGCAACGCUGCGGUGAAUACGUUCCCGGGCCUUGUACACACCGCCCGUCACGUCAUGAAAGUCGGUAACACCCGAAGCCGGUGGCCCAAC